UUGCCCAUAAAAUCACCCUAAACUUGUCUUGCAAGGUAGACUUGGAAGAGAAUUAGAGAUCAGAUUUCAGAAAAAUACAAAAGAAAAGCAAAAAUCUACGGUUUCAUUAAAUUUCACUAAUCUUUUUGCCUGAAAAUUUAGUUCUUCAUUGUGGAGUUUUAAAAUGAUUUGAGUAUUGGUUUUAAUGUCUAAUUUUGAGUCUGCUAGGUUUGGUUCGAGUGGAACUUUUCUCUUUUGGGCUACUGUAUAUCAAUCCUGGGUUUGCAGUUGGGGUUCAUUGAUCCUUGUUGUUGAUUAUUGUUUGUGCUUUGCUGAAUCCCUCAUUUUUCUUUCCUUGUUUCAAUCUCCAGGUACACACUUCUAAUUUUAGGGAUGUAAAAACAUAUCGUGAAGCAUUUUUUAUGGAGAUAUAUUGCUAUUAUGUUCUCUUUUGAUAGAUAUUUUUUAUUUUUUUAUUUACUUCCCAGAUGGUUAUGUUAAUUCCUCUAUUUUAGUAUAUUUAAUAUAAAGCUAUGUUUUCUGAGUAUCUCCAUGGACUUGUAUUAGAGUUAUUGUUAGAGUUGCUGAUUUCCAUGUAUUUGAUUCUUUAAAUUUUAUCGCUGUUAGAGGGAUCAAUUAGGUUGGAUCCCUAAUGUUCUUAUGAACUCAAAUCGCAGGAGUGUGUUGUUAAUUACAAACCUGGUAUGUAUGAAAUUGAGUAUGUAUGUGAAGUAGGAUUUGGGGAAAUUUAUCAGGCCAUCGGGUGUAUUUUUUGCGGAGACACAAAUUUGAAUAUGAUCCUCUGAUGUUGGGCCUGGGCGUUUAUGAGGGAUUUUAAGUCUUGGUAGAGUUUGGAUCUCAUACAUCACAUGUUCAAGUUCUCUUAUGCAAAUCUUGAUUUUGGAUUAUCAAUUUCUGUAACAUGUUAGCCUGGUGUUGUCUAUAUUCCCACAUGAGUUCUUAAGUGUUUAAAAGAUUGUGAGUAAAACUUGGAUUUUAAAAUCAAAUUUGAAGAUCCAGAAAUUUGAUUCAAUUCUUGCACUCGUCAUUUUCAAAAGUUUUUGGCCAUUUAGUUUAUUAAGUUAAUGGGAUUCAAAAAGGAUCUUAUGAUUUACAGAAGUGGUUUGCUUCAUUCCCCGCUCCUCUGCUAGACUUGGGCUCAAAUUGGGCCCAAAGCUUAAAAUCAUUUGAAACAGGAAAAUGAUAGUCCUUGUCAUAUGUGGGUUUUCUAGUUGAUGCCAUUGAGCGCCUAAAUUCAUUUUACUGACUGGCCGAAUUCGUGUUCUUUUAUGACUAUAUCAGUUAUGGACUUCAACGUUUGGGUAACAACAAUUCUAGUAGCGCUUUUAAUUAAUUUAGCAC
Molecule: long non-coding RNA, 1341 nt
Filed under: Nicotiana benthamiana
Lineage: Eukaryota; Viridiplantae; Streptophyta; Magnoliopsida; Solanales; Solanaceae
Description: long non-coding RNA (NBEN_LNC040534)
Source: RNAcentral